AAACAGAAAAGGAAAUAAUUAGAACCCUGACAUUAGAUGGAACUUCAGAAAACAAAGAAAGACAAGAAGACUAAAAGAACAUGAAAUCUUCAUUGAAGAAUUUGUAAACUAUUGAUAACAGAAAAAACAUAACUCUACCAUAGAGAGGUACUGCAAAUGAUAAGACUCGGCUUUGAAUAAGAAAGCUAAGUUACUGAAUCUAUUGAAAUCCUAUAUAUCAAGAACAUUAUGCAAACCGAUGAUUUCAACAAACUAAUGAACAAAUCCAGUUCAGUGGAUCACCACAAAAUGGAUAUGUAAAAUAACAAAUCUUCUGCAAAAACAGAAUGAAUCCAUCAAACAAUAUAUGGUCGGAGAAUCAAGCAAGAGGGGAAAAGAUCUCAACAGCUGCAAAUGAUACGAAAGGGUCACGGUCUUCGUGAUAUUAAAUAUGCACAUAAAUUUUGAAUUAACAUAUGCACGCAUAAUUUGAAUUAAUAAAUAUACACAUAUAAUUUGAAUCUACGAAAAAUAUAUAAAAAAGCAGCGAUUUUGAGGAGCCACUGAAUUUCAAAUUCCAACAAAACAAAUCUGAUCCAACAAAAAAAAGUAUAGAACCACAAAAAAUCAAUAAAAUGCUGAUAUUUAUCCAAAAACCUUACUAAAAAUAAGAGAACAUCCAACAAAACCUAGGGUUAGUGAACGAAAAUACAUUAAUCAAUACUCAUCAGACAACGAGAGAAAUUUCUGAGAAAAACAUUAGACCGUAAAAAUCAUUCGACCACUGAAUAAAACUAUGAGAGUAAAGAGUGAUUAAGAUCUGAACAAAUCAAGCGGAAUCAUGAAACCAUAGAUGAUAUAACUAAGAAUCUAUAUAUGAAAAGGAAAAUCAUGAAAUCAUAGAUGAUAUAACUAAAAUCUAAAUAUAAAAAGGAAAAUAAUGCCGUCUAUUCAGUAAAUAAGAGGAAAUACAUGAAACCCUAAACCCUAAGUGUACCUCGCUUCGACAUUUUGCUAGUGCAGACAAUGCAACGAGGAAGACGGCCUUUUCUGGAGUUUUGGCCUUUAACCCUCAAAUAUAUAUAGUGAG
RNAcentral lists this long non-coding RNA (1069 nucleotides) under Amborella trichopoda. RNAcentral describes it as "long non-coding RNA (ATRI_LNC001401)". Lineage: Eukaryota; Viridiplantae; Streptophyta; Magnoliopsida; Amborellales; Amborellaceae. The record is from RNAcentral.